CCCUGCAGCUGGGAGAGGAGCCCCAGCCCCAGGAGUACCAGGUGUUCCCAUUCUGUGAUCAGCACAGAACACAGAAACCUCACCAUGGAGUUUGUGCUGGGCUGGGUUCUCCUGGUUGCUCUUUUGAAAGGUGUCCAGUGUGACGUGCAGCUGGUGGAGUCUGGGGGAGACCUGGUGAAGCCUGGGGGGUCCCUGAGACUUACCUGUGUAGCCUCUGGAUUCACCUUCAGUAGCUAUGAUAUGAGCUGGGUCCGCCAGGCUCCAGGGAAGGGGCUGCAGUGGGUCGCAUAUAUUUAUGAUGAUGGAAGUAGCACAUACUACGCAGACUCCGUGAAGGGCCGAUUCACCAUCUCCAGAGACAACGCCAAGAACAUGCUGUAUCUUCAGAUGAACAGCCUGAAGACCGAGGACACGGCCACAUAUUACUGUGCAAGAGACACGUAUAAAUACGGGUGGAAGGGUUAGGUGAGGAAAUCACAG
Herpailurus yagouaroundi (jaguarundi) is the source of this 480-nucleotide non-coding RNA. Lineage: Eukaryota; Metazoa; Chordata; Mammalia; Carnivora; Felidae. The record is from the annotation of a RefSeq genome assembly.